RNAcentral lists this long non-coding RNA (635 nucleotides) under Struthio camelus australis. Its description in RNAcentral is "lncRNA (ENSSCUG00000015233.1)". The record is from RNAcentral. Lineage: Eukaryota; Metazoa; Chordata; Aves; Struthioniformes; Struthionidae.
UGACGCUGACCAGCCUGUAGUUCCCUAGAUCCUUCUUCUUGCCUUUCUUGAAGGUAGGGGUGACAUUUGCUUUCUUUCAAUCCUCAGGAACCUCUCCCGAUCGCCACAACCUUUCAAAGAUAAUCAAGAAUGGCCUUGCAGUGCACUGACCGGUCUUGAUAGAGCUGUGUAGUUAUCUGCUAGCCACUGUGGCUUCCACAUGCGCCCGCUGCCAGCCCCACUGUCCUGUCACCACCACAGCCAGAAUGACGCAUGGGAUUCUGGAUGGCGUCUGCUACUCACCUCUACGCUGACAUUGGAAGAAUCAGCUUUUUUCCAGCUAACGAGCCUUCUCAAGAUGUCCCCUGUGUCCUCCUUCCCCACCAGAAGAAAACCAAAUCGUGGACUGUGUCUUUCCACCCUUGUACAGGCUACAGAACGGGAUGAGCUGCCACAAUACCCUUAUCUCAAAGACCAGGGUGAGCCAUGGCAAAUCCUGGAGAUGGUGCUGAGUCCUGGGACUGCACGCACUUGCUCCACAGCUCAAGAAUCGUGGAAGUGGCCAGGGCUCACGCGGACGGACGGGCGAGCUGGCGGCAGCACCUGCCAGGUAAACCCUCCCACCUUUGAGGGCUCGCUGAAAUGCUAUUUCUAGC